UACAGAGGGUGCGAGCGUUAAUCGGAAUUACUGGGCGUAAAGCGCGCGUAGGUGGCUUGACAAGUCGGAUGUGAAAUCCCCGGGCUCAACCUGGGAACUGCAUUCGAAACUGUCUUGCUAGAGUAUGGGAGAGGGAGGUGGAAUUUCAGGUGUAGCGGUGAAAUGCGUAGAUAUCUGAAGGAACAUCAGUGGCGAAAGCGACCUCCUGGACCAAUACUGACGCUCAUGUGCGAAAGCGUGGGGAGCAAACAGG
This 253-nucleotide ribosomal RNA is filed under the name uncultured bacterium. RNAcentral's name for it is "partial 16S ribosomal RNA". It matches the Rfam family "Bacterial small subunit ribosomal RNA", at positions 524 to 776 of the family's 1533-position model. The record is from RNAcentral.